RNAcentral lists this ribosomal RNA (589 nucleotides) under uncultured marine eukaryote. RNAcentral's name for it is "bacterial SSU rRNA". It matches the Rfam family "Eukaryotic small subunit ribosomal RNA", at positions 614 to 1220 of the family's 1831-position model. The record is from RNAcentral.
UGCAGUUAAAAAGCUCGUAGUUGGAUUUCUGGUAGAAUAUUCGAUCCCUCUGAUGAGUGCGAUCGAAAGUUUUACCGUCCUUCUGUUAACCUUGGAGGCUUUUACGGUCUCCCUGGGGCUCAGAUAUUUUACCUUGAGAAAAUUAGAGUGUUUCAGGCAGGCUAGCGCCGGAAUACAUUAGCAUGGAAUAAUAGAAUAGGACUUUUGCCUCUUCUGUUGGUCAUGGGGUUUAAGUAAUGAUUAAUAGGGAUAGUUGGGGGCAUUAGUACUUCACUGUCAGAGGUGAAAUUCUCGGAUUUGUGAAAGACUAACUUAUGCGAAAGCAUUUGCCAAGGAUGUUUUCAUUAAUCAAGAACGAAAGUUAGGGGAUCAAAGACGAUCAGAUACCGUCCUAGUCUUAACCAUAAACUAUGCCGACUCGGGAUCGGGGGCGAGUAUUAUCCGCCUUCGGCACCGUAUGAGAAAUCAAAGUCUUUGGGUUCUGGGGGGAGAUAUGGUCGCAAGGCUGAAACUUAAAGGAAUUGACGGAAGGGCACCACCAAGCGUGGAACUUGCGGCUCAAUUUGACUCAACACGGGGAAACUUACCA